This 85-nucleotide transfer RNA is filed under the name Zoogloea sp. Its description in RNAcentral is "tRNA-Leu". It matches the Rfam family "tRNA". Rfam says of the family: Transfer RNA (tRNA) molecules are approximately 80 nucleotides in length. Their secondary structure includes four short double-helical elements and three loops (D, anti-codon, and T loops). Lineage: Bacteria; Pseudomonadati; Pseudomonadota; Betaproteobacteria; Rhodocyclales; Zoogloeaceae. The record is from RNAcentral. RNAcentral also lists the same sequence under 3 other names.
GCGGGGUUGGCGGAAUUGGUAGACGCACUGGAUUUAGGUUCCAGCGCCGCAAGGCGUGAGGGUUCGAGUCCCUUGCCCCGCACCA